RNAcentral lists this ribosomal RNA (485 nucleotides) under uncultured bacterium. RNAcentral describes it as "bacterial SSU rRNA". It matches the Rfam family "Bacterial small subunit ribosomal RNA", at positions 44 to 518 of the family's 1533-position model. The record is from RNAcentral.
AGGCCUAACACAUGCAAGUCGAACGGUAACAGGAAGCAGCUUGCUGCUUGCUGACGAGUGGCGGACGGGUGAGUAAUGUCUGGGAAACUGCCUGAUGGAGGGGAGUAACUACUGGAAACGGUAGCUAAUACCGCAUAACGUCGCAAGACCAAAGAGGGGGACCUUCGGGCCUCUUGCCAUCAGAUGUGCCCAGAUGGGAUUAGCUUGUUGGUGGGGUAACGGCUCACCAAGGCGACGAUCCCUAGCUGGUCUGAGAGGAUGACCCAGCCACACUGGAACUGAGACACGGUCCAGACUCCUACGGGAGGCAGCAGUGGGGAAUAUUGCACAAUGGGCGCAAGCCUGAUGCAGCCAUGCCGCGUGUAUGAAGAAGGCCUUCGGGUUGUAAAGUACUUUCAGCGGGGAGGAAGGUGUUGUGGUUAAUAACCACAGCAAUUGACGUUACCCGCAGAAGAAGCACCGGCUAACUCCGUGCCAGCAGCCGC